GUCUACGGCCAUACCACCCUGAACGUGCCAGAUCUCGUCUGAUCUCGGAAGCUAAGCAGGGUCGGGCCUGGUUAGUACUUGGAUGGGAAAACCACUUAAAAUAGAAAACAUACCAUGGAUA
Ribosomal RNA from Mustela putorius furo (domestic ferret), 121 nucleotides. The record is from Ensembl. NCBI's taxonomy places the organism in Eukaryota, Metazoa, Chordata, Mammalia, Carnivora, Mustelidae.